This 403-nucleotide ribosomal RNA is filed under the name uncultured bacterium. Its description in RNAcentral is "partial 16S ribosomal RNA". It matches the Rfam family "Bacterial small subunit ribosomal RNA", at positions 30 to 526 of the family's 1533-position model. The record is from RNAcentral.
AUUGAACGCUGGCGGCAGGCCUAACACAUGCAAGUCGAGCGAGCGGCGGACGGGUGAGUAAUGUAUGGGGACUGCCCGUUGUAGGGGGAUAACUCCUGGAAACGGUAGCUAUUACCCCCUACUCUCGGAUUACCCAGAUGGGAUUAGCUAGUAGGUGGGGUAAUGGCUCACCUAGGCGACGAUCCCUAGCUGGUCUGAGAGGAUGAUCAGCCACACUGGGACUGAGACACGGCCCAGACUCCUACGGAGGCAGCAGUGGGGAAUAUUGCACAAUGGGCGCAAGCCUGAUGCAGCCAUGCCGCGUGUGUGAAGAAGGCCUUAGGGUUGUAAAGUACUUUCAGUGGGGAGGCGUUACCGACAGAAGAAGCACCGGCUAACUCCGUGCCAGCAGCCGCGGUAAUAC